CUUCUAAACAGAUGAGAUAAUUCAACAGCAAAGCCCCACUACUAAAAAGUUUCAGACACUUCGCCCUUGAUUCUCAACAAGAAUCCUAAAACUGAGCUGAAUGCCUGUGUCUCUUUUUCUCAAGCCAUUCAUUGCAGCUCCAUCGACGAAUUGGAGAUUCUUGUAUGGCUUCGUAUUCAGCCUUGGUGGGACUUCAAUGGAACGGAUUUCCUGAUGCUAAUCAUAGUUAUGGGAAGCAAGGGGAUUUCAAUAAGGCUGAGAAGGUUUUGAGCUUUAUGAACAAGAAGGGUUGUGUCAUGUGUGCCAAAUGUUGUCUCCCAUACUGCUCUUAUGGAAGUUUAUGGAAAAGAAGCUCGAUACAACAAUGCUGAAACUCUCUUUCGAAGAAUGAAAUUCUCAGGCCCGGGACCUUCUCCUCAUACAUAUCAGAUAAUAUUUCAAAUAUUUGUUGAGGUAAGAGCUUAUUAAAGAUUUAUCUUUAAAUUCUAUUAACUUAAAGUCAACCCUUGGUUUGCUGUUAAAACAAGGUUUUUAUUUUAACUUAAUGUCAACCCUUGAUUCUUUUUGAACUAUGGUUGACAUAAAACCUGAAAGGCUUAUGUGAAUCUGUCAAAUGUAUACACAGUUUAGUAUGAUUAUUUCUUGUUAUUCUGGCUUUUCACUGCA
Long non-coding RNA from Tripterygium wilfordii, 666 nucleotides. RefSeq lists it as uncharacterized. The transcript is spliced from 2 exons. NCBI's taxonomy places the organism in Eukaryota, Viridiplantae, Streptophyta, Magnoliopsida, Celastrales, Celastraceae. The record is from RefSeq and is a predicted model, not a curated record.